This 899-nucleotide ribosomal RNA is filed under the name uncultured bacterium. RNAcentral describes it as "bacterial SSU rRNA". It matches the Rfam family "Bacterial small subunit ribosomal RNA", at positions 82 to 958 of the family's 1533-position model. The record is from RNAcentral.
GGGGACGAGUAGAGUGGCGCACGGGUGAGUAACACGUAGGUAAUCUACCUUCGGAUGGGGAAUAACAACCGGAAACGGUUGCUAAUACCGCAUAAUGCAGCGGCACCUAAUGGUGACAGUUGUUAAAGCGGGGGAUCGAAAGACCUCGCGUCUGAAGAGGAGCCUGCGGCAGAUUAGCUAGUUGGUAAGGUAAUGGCUUACCAAGGCGAUGAUCUGUAGCCGGCCUGAGAGGGCGGUCGGCCACACUGACACUGACAUACGGGUCAGACUCCUACGGGAGGCAGCAGUCGGGAAUUUUGGGCAAUGGGCGAAAGCCUGACCCAGCAACGCCGCGUGGAGGAUGAAAUCCUUCGGGAUGUAAACUUCGCAAGAACGGGAAGAAUAAGUAGGGGACAAUACCCCCUAUGAUGACGGUACUGUUUGUAAGCUCCCGCUAACUCCGUGCCAGCAGCCGCGGUAAUACGGGGGGAGCAAGCGUUGUUCGGAUUUACUGGGCGUAAAGGGCGCGUAGGCGGCCACCGCAAGUCAGUUGUGAAAUCUCUGGGCUUAACCCAGAAAGGUCAACUGAUACUGCGGGGCUAGAGUGCAGAAGGGGCAACUGGAAUUCUCGGUGUAGCGGUGAAAUGCGUAGAUAUCGAGAGGAACACCUGCGGCGAAGGCGGGUUGCUGGGCUGACACUGACGCUGAGGCGCGAAAGCUAGGGGAGCGAACGGGAUUAGAUACCCCGGUAGUCCUAGCCUUAAACGAUGAAUGCUUGGUGUCUGGGGUUUUAUAGUCCCCGGGUGCCGUCGCUAACGCUUUAAGCAUUCCGCCUGGGGAGUACGGUCGCAAGACUGAAACUCAAAGGAAUUGACGGGGACCCGCACAAGCGGUGGAGCAUGUGGGUUUAAUUCGACGCA